This 503-nucleotide ribosomal RNA is filed under the name uncultured bacterium. RNAcentral's name for it is "partial 16S ribosomal RNA". It matches the Rfam family "Bacterial small subunit ribosomal RNA", at positions 30 to 523 of the family's 1533-position model. The record is from RNAcentral.
AUUGAACGCUGACGGCAGGCUUAACACAUGCAAGUCGAGCGGGGUGAUGGUGCUUGCACUAUCACUUAGCGGCGGACGGGUGAGUAAUGCUUAGGAAUCUGCCUAUUAGUGGGGGACAACAUCUCGAAAGGGAUGCUAAUACCGCAUACGUCCUACGGGAGAAAGCAGGGGAUCACUUGUGACCUUGCGCUAAUAGAUGAGCCUAAGUCGGAUUAGCUAGUUGGUGGGGUAAAGGCCUACCAAGGCGACGAUCUGUAGCGGGUCUGAGAGGAUGAUCCGCCACACUGGGACUGAGACACGGCCCAGACUCCUACGGGAGGCAGCAGUGGGGAAUAUUGGACAAUGGGGGGAACCCUGAUCCAGCCAUGCCGCGUGUGUGAAGAAGGCCUUAUGGUUGUGAAGCACUUUAAGCGAGGAGGAGGCUCUUUUGGUUAAUACUCAAGAUGAGUGGACGUUACUCGCAGAAUAAGCACCGGCUAACUCUGUGCCAGCCGCCGCCGUAA